This 21-nucleotide non-coding RNA is filed under the name Caenorhabditis elegans. The record is from RNAcentral. Lineage: Eukaryota; Metazoa; Nematoda; Chromadorea; Rhabditida; Rhabditidae.
UUCAACAAUCUAAUCAUUUUA